Molecule: ribosomal RNA, 694 nt
Filed under: Pseudescherichia vulneris (CDC Enteric Group 1)
Lineage: Bacteria; Pseudomonadati; Pseudomonadota; Gammaproteobacteria; Enterobacterales; Enterobacteriaceae
Description: bacterial SSU rRNA
Rfam family: Bacterial small subunit ribosomal RNA
Source: RNAcentral
AACGCUGGCGGCAGGCCUAACACAUGCAAGUCGAACGGUAGCACAGAGGAGCUUGCUCCUUGGGUGACGAGUGGCGGACGGGUGAGUAAUGUCUGGGAAACUGCCUGAUGGAGGGGGAUAACUACUGGAAACGGUAGCUAAUACCGCAUAACGUCGCAAGACCAAAGAGGGGGACCUUCGGGCCUCUUGCCAUCAGAUGUGCCCAGAUGGGAUUAGCUAGUAGGUGGGGUAAUGGCUCACCUAGGCGACGAUCCCUAGCUGGUCUGAGAGGAUGACCAGCCACACUGGAACUGAGACACGGUCCAGACUCCUACGGGAGGCAGCAGUGGGGAAUAUUGCACAAUGGGCGCAAGCCUGAUGCAGCCAUGCCGCGUGUAUGAAGAAGGCCUUCGGGUUGUAAAGUACUUUCAGCGGGGAGGAAGGCGAUACGGUUAAUAACCGUGUCGAUUGACGUUACCCGCAGAAGAAGCACCGGCUAACUCCGUGCCAGCAGCCGCGGUAAUACGGAGGGUGCAAGCGUUAAUCGGAAUUACUGGGCGUAAAGCGCACGCAGGCGGUCUGUCAAGUCGGAUGUGAAAUCCCCGGGCUCAACCUGGGAACUGCAUUCGAAACUGACAGGCUAGAGUCUUGUAGAGGGGGGUAGAAUUCCAGGUGUAGCGGUGAAAUGCGUAGAGAUCUGGAGGAAUACCGGUGG